Uranotaenia lowii is the source of this 516-nucleotide long non-coding RNA. RefSeq lists it as uncharacterized. The record is from RefSeq and is a predicted model, not a curated record. The transcript is spliced from 3 exons. Lineage: Eukaryota; Metazoa; Arthropoda; Insecta; Diptera; Culicidae.
AGCAAAUUUUUUUUUUUACUGUUGAGUUAGCACUUUCCCAAAUUAUCAUGACUUUUGCUCGAUUUGAGUAAAAAUAACCAAUUUACUACUAAUUUUAGCAUUAAUAGUAGCAUGGACUCAAACUUUUAGCCUGUGCCCAAACCGCGUACUUUAUGUGCUCAAAUUUUAGAAAGGCGACACAGGCGGAAACCUGUUAGAUUAUUCUUGUUUUUAUUUUGCACCGCGCGCGGGUAAAACAUUUUUGUUCCGCUUCUCGGUUUUUCGUCGUUUUAUUUGAAUUUAAAAUUGGAUCAACAGCAGCUCGUUGGACGGAAUGCUGCAGAAGUAGCCAUUCUGCCUCCCGCGGAAAGUUACUGGUUCGAUAAUCAGUGGAAAAAUCCGAACCCCGAAGCACCAGUAGUGGUUCCGCCGGGUGAUGUGUGUGUUUUACCUGUUUGGUGAUUUCAUUGGUGAAGAUGUAAUCACUGAUCAUAAUGUAAUAGUAAAAGCUUCAAGAACACUUUUCGAAACCCGCGG